RNAcentral lists this ribosomal RNA (503 nucleotides) under uncultured bacterium. RNAcentral describes it as "partial 16S ribosomal RNA". It matches the Rfam family "Bacterial small subunit ribosomal RNA", at positions 30 to 523 of the family's 1533-position model. The record is from RNAcentral.
AUUGAACGCUGGCGGCAGGCUUAACACAUGCAAGUCGAGCGGGGUGAUGGUGCUUGCACUAUCACUUAGCGGCGGACGGGUGAGUAAUGCUUAGGAAUCUGCCUAUUAGUGGGGGACAACAUCUCGAAAGGGAUGCUAAUACCGCAUACGUCCUACGGGAGAAAGCAGGGGAUCACUUGUGACCUUGCGCUAAUAGAUGAGCCUAAGUCGGAUUAGCUAGUUGGUGGGGUAAAGGCCUACCAAGGCGACGAUCUGUAGCGGGUCUGAGAGGAUGAUCCGCCACAAUGGGACUGAGACACGGCCCAGAAUCCUACGGGAGGCAGCAGGGGGGAAUAUUGGACAAUGGGGGGAACCCUGAUCCAGCCAUGCCGCGUGUGUGAAGAAGGCCUUAUGGUUGUAAAGCACUUUAAGCGAGGAGGAGGCUCUUUUGGUUAAUACCCAAGAUGAGUGGACGUUACUCGCAGAAUAAGCACCGGCUAACUCUGUGCCAGCCGCCGCCGUAA